UACGGAGGGUGCAAGCGUUAUCCGGAUUCACUGGGUUUAAAGGGUGCGUAGGUGGGCAAGUAAGUCAGUGGUGAAAUCUCCGGGCUUAACCCGGAAACUGCCAUUGAUACUAUUUGCCUUGAAUACUGUGGAGGUCAGCGGAAUAUGUCAUGUAGCGGUGAAAUGCUUAGAUAUGACAUAGAACACCAAUUGCGAAGGCAGCUGGCUACACAAAUAUUGACACUGAGGCACGAAAGCGUGGGGAUCAAACAGG
This 253-nucleotide ribosomal RNA is filed under the name uncultured bacterium. Its description in RNAcentral is "partial 16S ribosomal RNA". It matches the Rfam family "Bacterial small subunit ribosomal RNA", at positions 524 to 776 of the family's 1533-position model. The record is from RNAcentral.